RNAcentral lists this long non-coding RNA (602 nucleotides) under Erythranthe guttata (spotted monkey flower). Its description in RNAcentral is "long non-coding RNA (EGUT_LNC001667)". The record is from RNAcentral. Lineage: Eukaryota; Viridiplantae; Streptophyta; Magnoliopsida; Lamiales; Phrymaceae.
AAAAGUGGUCGUGUAAGAAAUUUCAUAGUCGAUGUCUGGUUGUAAUUAUCUAAACAUAAUAAGUUUUUUCGUAAUUUGACGUUACAUCAUGGGUGACCGUAAUUUAUCCAAAUAUCAAGAAAUAGAAAAAAUUGAUUGAUAAAUAUGGGCAAAGUAUCGUCACCCAAAAACAACCAAUAAACCAGAGCAUAAUACAUCAUUUGAAAGAAAAAAAACCGAUCUUUUUCUUCUAAAGCAACAAGUAUUGACCAAUCAUCGAUUACUGCUGCUCCUCCUUCAAAUCAAAAUCAUCAGUCUUCCUCUUCUUUUCGGUGUUGCCGGAGAUGGGAGCUUUUGGUGCUGGCGGCGGUGGCGGUGGCGGCGUUUGGAGGAGUAGUCUGGUGUGGGUGGGGGUAAAGGGGUGGAAAUCGGAACGGAAUUUCCGAUUUCCGCCGACUCCGAUCCGAUUAUUUCCGAUUAUGGAAUUAAUUUUUGUACUCCGAUUUCCGAUUUUUUCCGAAAAAAUCGGAUCGGAAUCGGAAUUAACUAUAAAAUCUCCGGAAUUUCCGAAUUCCGAUCCGAAAAUGAUUCCGAAAUAUUCCGAUUUUUCAUAUAUAUUAAGU